Molecule: long non-coding RNA, 409 nt
Organism: Cannabis sativa
Lineage: Eukaryota; Viridiplantae; Streptophyta; Magnoliopsida; Rosales; Cannabaceae
Exons: 2
Source: RefSeq, a predicted model, not a curated record
CUCUCUCUCUCUCUCUCUCUCUCUCUCUCUCUCUCUCUCUCUCUCUCUCUCUCUCUCUCUCUCUCUCUCUCUCUCUCUCUCUCUCUCACCAAUUGAAGCUUCUUUGGUUUUCUUGAGAUUUUGGUUAAAAAAUUUGUGUCUUGGAGUUAAAUCUCGUAGAAAUUAUUGGUACCAACUGAGGAGCACUUGAGGCAACCAUGAGUUCGAGGGUUUUGAAGAUGACUUGUACAUGUUCUGGCCAAGCUAGACCACAAGGGUUGGGUCUAUUAGGGAAUUGUAUAGAAAUUCCAUUUUACUGUUAGGUCGGCCUGUAUGAAAUAACUUGUAAUAUUUUGAAAACAAAUUUUACGAGAUCUCAGAUAUGUAACUUUAAAUAUUUUGGUUUAAAAUAAAGUGUGUAUUAUUGCAA